RNAcentral lists this ribosomal RNA (488 nucleotides) under uncultured bacterium. RNAcentral describes it as "bacterial SSU rRNA". It matches the Rfam family "Bacterial small subunit ribosomal RNA", at positions 29 to 518 of the family's 1533-position model. The record is from RNAcentral.
AUGAACGCUGGCGGCGUGCUUAACACAUGCAAGUCGAACGAAGCACUUAAGAUGAUUUCUUCGGAUCGAAUUUUUGUGACUUAGUGGCGGACGGGUGAGUAACGCGUGGGCAACCUGCCUCUGUCUGGGGGAUAACAGUUAGAAAUGACUGCUAAUACCGCAUAAGCGCACAUUGCCGCAUGGCAGAGUGUGAAAAACGUUAGUGGACAGAGAUGGACCCGCGUUAGAUUAGCCAGUUGGUGGGGUAACGGCCUACCAAAGCGACGAUCUAUAGCCGGCCUGAGAGGGCGACCGGCCACAUUGGGACUGAGACACGGCCCAAACUCCUACGGGAGGCAGCAGUGGGGAAUAUUGCACAAUGGGGGAAACCCUGAUGCAGCGACGCCGCGUGAGUGAAGAAGUAUUUCGGUAUGUAAAGCUCUAUCAGCAGGGAAGAAAAUGACGGUACCUGACUAAGAAGCCCCGGCUAACUACGUGCCAGCCGCCGC